GCAGAGUAGGUAUGGUGCGUUAAGUGCUUGGGGAUGGGAAGUUGCCCCUUGACGAAAAGGGUGAAAAGCCCUUGCGGUGCCAUAUCGCGUCCGCUGU
This 97-nucleotide non-coding RNA is filed under the name chicken gut metagenome. Its description in RNAcentral is "THF riboswitch". It matches the Rfam family "THF (Tetrahydrofolate) riboswitch aptamer". From Rfam's summary of the family: THF riboswitch presents a pseudoknot that joins P1-P2 and the loop of P3 and two THF binding. The record is from RNAcentral.